GGAAGUAGAAGUCGUAACAAGGUUUCCGUAGGUGAACCUGCGGAAGGAUCAUUAUCGAAAUACUUAUUUAGCGUUCCGUGCUAUCCCAUUGUUUUAUUUACCCUGUUGCUUCCACUGGAUGAGUUUCCAUACCUUGUGUUUGAGAAACUUUGGCUUGUGUAAGAUUCAUUCACGGCCAGCCAGUGAGAAGACCAUUUACAAAACCCUGUUAAGAACCAAUUGUCUGAAUAUUUUACUCCAAUGAAAUAAAACUUUCAACAACGGAUCUCUAGGCUCUU
Molecule: unclassified non-coding RNA, 278 nt
Filed under: plant metagenome
Description: partial contains small subunit ribosomal RNA and internal transcribed spacer 1
Rfam family: Eukaryotic small subunit ribosomal RNA (bases 1-54)
Source: RNAcentral